AAGAGAUAACCGCUGAAAGCAUCUAAGCGGGAAACUCGCCUUAAGAUGAGAUAUCCCUGGGGACUUGAUCCCCUUGAAGGGUCGUUCGAGACCAGGACGUUGAUAGGUCAGGUGUGUAAGCGCAGUAAUGCGUUCAGCUAACUGAUACUAAUUGCCCGUAAGGCUUGAUCCUAUAACA
This 178-nucleotide ribosomal RNA is filed under the name Burkholderia ubonensis. RNAcentral's name for it is "partial 23S ribosomal RNA". It matches the Rfam family "Bacterial large subunit ribosomal RNA", at positions 2759 to 2925 of the family's 2925-position model. The record is from RNAcentral. Lineage: Bacteria; Pseudomonadati; Pseudomonadota; Betaproteobacteria; Burkholderiales; Burkholderiaceae.